CCGGAGAAUGUUAUCACGGGAGACACACGGCGGGUGCUAACGUCCGUCGUGAAGAGGGAAACAACCCAGACCGCCAGCUAAGGUCCCAAAGUCAUGGUUAAGUGGGAAACGAUGUGGGAAGGCCCAGACAGCCAGGAUGUUGGCUUAGAAGCAGCCAUCAUUUAAAGAAAGCGUAAUAGCUCACUGGUCGAGUCGGCCUGCGCGGAAGAUGUAACGGGGCUAAACCAUGCACCGAAGCUGCGGCAGCGAACGUAUCACUUAAAGCGAUUCAGCGGAUGACGAUUGACGGAGCGAAGCGACGUCAAAGCGUAUACAAAGUCGAGUCGGUUUAAGGAUACGUUCGUUGGGUAGGGGAGCGUUCUGUAAGCCUGCGAAGGUGGCCUGUGAGGGUUGCUGGAGGUAUCAGAAGUGCGAAUGCUGACAUAAGUAACGAUAAAGCGGGUGAAAAGCCCGCUCGCCGGAAGACCAAGGGUUCCUGUCCAACGUUAAUCGGGGCAGGGUGAGUCGACCCCUAAGGCGAGGCCGAAAGGCGUAGUCGAUGGGAAACGGGUUAAUAUUCCCGUACUUGGUGUUACUGCGAAGGGGGGACGG
Molecule: ribosomal RNA, 591 nt
Filed under: Salmonella enterica
Lineage: Bacteria; Pseudomonadati; Pseudomonadota; Gammaproteobacteria; Enterobacterales; Enterobacteriaceae
Description: partial 23S ribosomal RNA
Rfam family: Bacterial large subunit ribosomal RNA
Source: RNAcentral